AGGGGUACAUAUGCUAUAACAGAUUUACUGAAAAGGAAGAAUACACAUUCACAUGCACUAUUAUAGCACACAAUCAUUGCAGACUAAUCUAAGGCAUAAUUACAAUCUAAGGCACAAUUAUAGCAACUAUCUUAACACUCUUACCUCAAGAUAGGGGCUGAAGCAUAGAUAUCAUAAGCUCCUAGCUUGUUAUAAAUGUAAUGGAUACGAG
Molecule: unclassified non-coding RNA, 211 nt
Filed under: Hevea brasiliensis (rubber tree)
Lineage: Eukaryota; Viridiplantae; Streptophyta; Magnoliopsida; Malpighiales; Euphorbiaceae
Source: RNAcentral